RNAcentral lists this ribosomal RNA (301 nucleotides) under uncultured bacterium. RNAcentral's name for it is "partial 16S ribosomal RNA". It matches the Rfam family "Bacterial small subunit ribosomal RNA", at positions 509 to 807 of the family's 1533-position model. The record is from RNAcentral.
CAGUCGCCACGGGAAUACGUAGGUGGCAAGCGUUAUCCGGAAUUAUUAGGCGUAAAGCGCGCGUAGGCGGUUUUUUAAGUCUGAUGUGAAAGCCCACGGCUCAACCGUGGAGGGUCAUUGGAAACUGGAAAACUUGAGUGCAGAAGAGGAAAGUGGAAUUCCAUGUGUAGCGGUGAAAUGCGCAGAGAUAUGGAGGAACACCAGUGGCGAAGGCGACUUUCUGGUCUGUAACUGACGCUGAUGUGCGAAAGCGUGGGGAUCAAACAGGAUUAGAUACCCCCGUAGUCCCUGUCUCUUAUAC